GACGAACGCUGGCGGCGUGCUUAACACAUGCGAGUCGAACGAAGAGCGAUGGAAGCUUGCUUCUAUCAAUCUUAGUGGCGAACGGGUGAGUAACGCGUAAUCAACCUGCCCUUCAGAGGGGGACAACAGUUGGAAACGACUGCUAAUACCGCAUACGAUCUAAUCUCGGCAUCGAGGAUGGAUGAAAGGUGGCCUCUACAUGUAAGCUAUCACUGAAGGAGGGGAUUGCGUCUGAUUAGCUAGUUGGAGGGGUAACGGCCCACCAAGGCGAUGAUCAGUAGCCGGUCUGAGAGGAUGAACGGCCACAUUGGGACUGAGACACGGCCCAGACUCCUACGGGAGGCAGCAGUGGGGAAUCUUCCGCAAUGGACGAAAGUCUGACGGAGCAACGCCGCGUGAGUGAUGACGGCCUUCGGGUUGUAAAGCUCUGUUAAUCGGGACGAAAGGCCUUCUUGCGAAUAGUGAGAAGGAUUGACGGUACCGGAAUAGAAAGCCACGGCUAACUACGUG
RNAcentral lists this ribosomal RNA (510 nucleotides) under uncultured bacterium. Its description in RNAcentral is "partial 16S ribosomal RNA". It matches the Rfam family "Bacterial small subunit ribosomal RNA", at positions 28 to 507 of the family's 1533-position model. The record is from RNAcentral.